This 261-nucleotide small RNA is filed under the name Octodon degus (degu). RNAcentral's name for it is "7SK RNA (ENSODEG00000024046.1)". It matches the Rfam family "7SK RNA", at positions 1 to 248 of the family's 331-position model. From Rfam's summary of the family: 7SK was discovered as an abundant small nuclear RNA in the mid-70s but a possible function has only recently been suggested. Two independent studies have found that 7SK RNA binds the CDK9/cyclin T complex (known as elongation factor P-TEFb). The record is from RNAcentral. Lineage: Eukaryota; Metazoa; Chordata; Mammalia; Rodentia; Octodontidae.
GGAUGUGAGGGCGAUCUGGCUGGGACAUCUGUCACCCCGAUGAUCUCCAGGGUUGAUUUGGCUGAUCUGGCUGGCUAGGCAGGUGUCCACUUCCUCCCUCAACAAUCCACGUGUAUCCCUCCUGAAGCUGCGCGCUUGGUCGAAGAGGACGACCACCCCUGAUAGAGGAGGACUGCUCCUCCGUCAAGGGUAUAUGAGUAGUUGUGCUUCUCUGCUAGAACCUUGAAGCAUGCUGUGGUGGAAACGCUGGCAUUGUCAGCU